This 469-nucleotide ribosomal RNA is filed under the name uncultured bacterium. RNAcentral describes it as "partial 16S ribosomal RNA". It matches the Rfam family "Bacterial small subunit ribosomal RNA", at positions 28 to 507 of the family's 1533-position model. The record is from RNAcentral.
GACGAACGCUGGCGGCGUGCUUAACACAUGCAAGUCGAACGGAAAGGCCCUGCUUGCAGGGUGCUCGAGUGGCGAACGGGUGAGUAACACGUGGGUGAUCUGCCCCUUACUUUGGGAUAAGCCUGGGAAACUGGGUCUAAUACUGGAUAGGACCAUGCUGUAGGUGGUGUGGUGGAAAGAUUAGUUUCGGUAAGGGAUGAGCUCGCGGCCUAUCAGCUUGUUGGUGGGGUAAUGGCCUACCAAGGCGUCGACGGGUAGCCGGCCUGAGAGGGUGGACAGCCACAUUGGGACUGAGAUACGGCCCAGACUCCUACGGGAGGCAGCAGUGGGGAAAAUGGCACAAUGGGCGCAAGCGUGAUGCAGCGACGCCGCGUGGGGGAUGACGGCCUUCGGGUUGUAAACGCCUUUCAGCCAUGACGAAGCCCGUGUGGUGACGGUAGUGGUAGAAGAAGCACCGGCUAACUACGUG